Mus musculus (house mouse) is the source of this 387-nucleotide long non-coding RNA. RefSeq annotates it as predicted gene, 46325. Lineage: Eukaryota; Metazoa; Chordata; Mammalia; Rodentia; Muridae. The record is from RefSeq and is a predicted model, not a curated record. The transcript has 2 exons.
UGCCAUCUAAGUCUCUUUCAGCCCCAGCCUGCCUCCCUGGUGUUCCCGGUCCUUGUAAGGUGCAGGCCAGCAUACAACACCUGCAAAAAAAGGUGCCAAGAGCAAAAACAAAGCCAUCACUUGGAGGAUAGGUAAAGUGAGCCAGCACGUUACACACGGAGUAGGAGAGUGUGGGGACUGAGGUCAAUUAUUCUGGAGCUAAGACGAUUCCGUCUGGCAGGUGGUCAGCAUGGUUCUGAGACCUGGGAUGCCUGCAUUGCUCCUUAUCCUCUUUCAUUCUGCGAUGUCUGGGUUUGGGCACGUCUUCAUUUUUAUGUAUGUGUUCCGUUGUGUGUCAAAAAGCCCCUCCCAACACACCAAAAUAAAUAAAUAGAAACUUUACUUUUA